GACAGAGGGUGCAAACGUUGUUCGGAAUUACUGGGCGUAAAGCGCGUGUAGGCGGCAAGCCAAGUCGGGUGUGAAAGCCCUGGGCUCAACCCAGGAAGUGCAUUCGAUACUGGCAAGCUAGAGUCCCGGAGAGGAUGGUGGAACUCUCGGUGUAGAGGUGAAAUUCGUAGAUAUUCGGAAGAACACCAGUGGCGAAGGCGGCUCACUGGCCCGGUACUGACGCUGAGGUGCGAAAGCGUGGGGAGCAAACAGG
This 253-nucleotide ribosomal RNA is filed under the name uncultured bacterium. RNAcentral describes it as "partial 16S ribosomal RNA". It matches the Rfam family "Bacterial small subunit ribosomal RNA", at positions 524 to 776 of the family's 1533-position model. The record is from RNAcentral.